RNAcentral lists this ribosomal RNA (611 nucleotides) under uncultured Clavulina. RNAcentral describes it as "eukaryotic LSU rRNA". The stretch from base 175 to 328 matches the Rfam family "5.8S ribosomal RNA". Lineage: Eukaryota; Fungi; Basidiomycota; Agaricomycetes; Cantharellales; Hydnaceae. The record is from RNAcentral.
UUUUUGGAUGCAUGUGCUUGCCCUAACAAUCAUCUUCCAAACACCUGUGCACAUUUUUGAGGGAGUUUCGAGUUUUAUUGCCGUUUUCGGUGAUUUUCUUGUAUUCCCUUGAAUUAUUAUACGCUGUUAACAAUGAUGAACGUGCUCUGUGCCGCAAGGCCAUUAAUAUAAUACAACUUUUAACAACGGAUCUCUUGGCUCUCGCAUCGAUGAAGAACGCAGCGAAAUGCGAUAAGUAAUGUGAAUUGCAGAAUUCAGUGAAUCAUCGAAUCUUUGAACGCACCUUGCGCUCCCUGGUAUUCCGGGGAGCACGCCUGUUCGAGUGUCGCGAAAUUUCUCAAGCUUGGAUGGCCUUUUUGUCUGUCCUUAGCCUUGGUUGUUGGGCUUUGCCGUGUCCUUUGUUGGGACGGCUGGCCUUAAAAGCAUUAGCUGAUCCUCGUGUGGCACUGGUUCUACUCAGCGUGAUAACAGUCUGAUCGCUGAGGACAUCUUUUGGGAUGGCCAGUUCUCAUUUGGGUUGCUUCCAAACUUGGGUUUUGCAGAUUCUUCAAUCUGUGUUCCACUUUUCAGCUUUGACCUCGAAUCAGGUGGGGACUACCCGCUGAACUUAA